CAUACAUGGUUUGGAUUCAGUCAAAAAUAAUAAACUGUGCGAGGAUGUUGUAAAGCAGACAGCUCUCAUGUUUUUAUGAUUAAAACAUAAUACAUACAAUUAUUUAAUAAUGGAGGACUAUAAAUAUCUUUUUAAAGGUCUUUUCCCCCCAGGACAGGGAGCAACCAUAGGAGUUGAUUUUAUGAUAAAAACUGUAGAAAUUGACGGAGAAAAAAUUAAAUUACAGAUUUGGGACACGGCAGGACAAGAGAGAUUCCGAAGUAUAACCCAGAGUUACUACAGAUCUGCGCAUGCGCUAAUCCUCGUCUACGAUGUAUCCAACCAACCAACCUUUGAUUGUUGUCCAGAUUGGUUGAGGGAGAUAGAAGAAUAUGCCUCACCUAAGGUGCUGCGUGUGCUGGUGGGGAACAAGAUAGACCGCGAGGACCACGAGAUCCCUGCCGAGGUAGGGGAGGAGUUCGCAGCCCGGCAUAAUAUGUACUUUCUACAGACAUCAGCAAAGAACUGUGAUAAUGUGGACAAACUGUUUACAGAGAUAGCACACGAGCUUCUUCAACAGGCGAAGACUAGGGAUCUACCAAGUGAAAGCCACAGUGUUCAAAGUUUAUCCGACCCUCUCCCUUCGUCGCAAUCAAUAAAUCAAAACUGUUGUUCUAAACUCCUCUGAGCCGAAAACUUAAGACAGGGGCUCUGAAGUACCUACUCCAGACAAAACAUAUAUUUCUUGCUCUAACCUACCCUUAGUGUAAUCAAUCCUAACCAUUAACCAGGCCUAUUAUGUUAUUUAUGUUUAAUGUAUUUUUUUUAUGUUGUUUCUCUGUCAAAGUGACUUGCGCAUUUCUUGCAUGUGAGAGACAAUGGAAAAGUUUAUAGAAUUUAACACAGACAAAUAACGUUAAAUUACACGUUGUAACUCGGACAUUGUCAUCUUUGCAUUGAAAUUAGCGUACAGUCCCUUUAAUGGAGAAAAAUCAUAGUAUAAAGUUGCAAUAGUCCUAAACUUUAAACACUGACCAAUAAGGAAUCAGUUAAUCUUUAAAUUUCUUUUUGUGCAAAUUGAACUUCAUUACUUAUAUGGUUAGUUAUUGGACAUUUUUGUGAUGAAGCUUAAAAGUUAAUAAUUUUAAAUAAUUUUCCACGGGCUGUUAAGUAGAUUUUGAUGCAAUUAAAUUUUCUGUUUGUACAUUUCUUGAUAUUAAAUGUUUCAUUAAAUUUAUGUAUUGUAACCUUUUAAUUGGUCACAACGGCCAACGCCACUGUAGAUAGAUAAUAUUAUUUUUUAGAUUUAGUUGUUUAAAUACUCAUUAAAAUAUGUAAAUUGACAAAUUCUUGUGAAAUUUGUGAGAUUCGCGACGAAAACAAUUUCUCUCUCUUUUCGUAAAAUUUUGUGAUGAAACCAAAGACAUAUGAAUAAAUAUUAAAACUUUAAA
Molecule: RNA transcript, 1430 nt
Organism: Eurytemora carolleeae
Lineage: Eukaryota; Metazoa; Arthropoda; Copepoda; Calanoida; Temoridae
Gene: Rab30
Gene name: ras-related protein Rab-30
Source: RefSeq, a predicted model, not a curated record